RNAcentral lists this ribosomal RNA (851 nucleotides) under Umbilicaria cylindrica. RNAcentral's name for it is "eukaryotic LSU rRNA". It matches the Rfam family "Eukaryotic large subunit ribosomal RNA", at positions 93 to 962 of the family's 3401-position model. Lineage: Eukaryota; Fungi; Ascomycota; Lecanoromycetes; Umbilicariales; Umbilicariaceae. The record is from RNAcentral.
GUGAAGCGGCAACAGCUCAAAUUUGAAAUCUGGCCGUUCGGCGGUCCGAGUUGUAAUUUGUAGAGGAUGCUUCGGGUGCGGCGCCGGUCUAAGUUCCUUGGAACAGGACGUCAGAGAGGGUGAGAAUCCCGUAUGUGACCGGUGACCCAGCCCGUGUGAAGCUCCUUCGACGAGUCGAGUUGUUUGGGAAUGCAGCUCUAAAUGGGUGGUAAAUUUCAUCUAAAGCUAAAUACCGGCCAGAGACCGAUAGCGCACAAGUAGAGUGAUCGAAAGAUGAAAAGCACUUUGGAAAGAGAGUUAAAAAGUACGUGAAAUUGUUGAAAGGGAAGCGCUUGUGACCAGACUUGCUCGCGGGCGAUCAGCCGUCCUUCUGGGCGGUGCACUCGCCCGUGAUCAGGCCAGCAUCGGUUCGGGCGGCCGGAUAACGGCCCCGGGAAUGUGGCUCCCCUCGGGGAGUGUUAUAGCCCGGGGCGCAAUGCGGCCCGCCGGGACCGAGGACCGCGCUUCGGCUAGGAUGCUGGCGUAAUGGUCGUAAGCGACCCGUCUUGAAACACGGACCAAGGAGUCUAACAUCUGUGCGAGUGUUUGGGUGUCAAACCCAUGCGCGGAAUGAAAGUGAACGGAGGUGGGAACCCUUCAGGGUGCACCAUCGACCGAUCCUGAUGUCUUCGGAUGGAUUUGAGUAAGAGCAUAGCUGUUGGGACCCGAAAGAUGGUGAACUAUGCCUGAAUAGGGUGAAGCCAGAGGAAACUCUGGUGGAGGCUCGCAGCGGUUCUGACGUGCAAAUCGAUCGUCAAAUUUGGGUAUAGGGGCGAAAGACUAAUCGAACCAUCUAGUAGCUGGUUCCUGCC